UUAUAUUCUCCACAGGGGGGGAUGAGAACCCCCGACCGGGGUUCGACAACUGGCGCAGCCAGUUGGACAGACCGCGCGCGCAGUAAGCGGGCUGCCCCGCAGGGGCGAGCGAAGCGAGUCAAUCCCCCCCUCACCGCCA
Molecule: small RNA, 139 nt
Filed under: Klebsiella pneumoniae
Lineage: Bacteria; Pseudomonadati; Pseudomonadota; Gammaproteobacteria; Enterobacterales; Enterobacteriaceae
Description: RtT sRNA
Rfam family: RtT RNA
About the family: This family represents a bacterial cis-regulatory element known as RtT RNA.
Source: RNAcentral